UUAACUUAUUAUAUUUUACUCAGACGACAACAUUCAGAGUUUAGGGGUCUCUGGCGGGCGCGAGCCAGCUUACGCCGGCAGCCGCGAGGCAGGCCCGCCAAAGCAACAAAGUAUGAUAAACAAAGGGUGGGAGAUCUACCCCGGAGGGCAAGUUCUCUUUAGUGAUCCUUCCGCAGGUUCACCUACGGAAA
RNAcentral lists this unclassified non-coding RNA (191 nucleotides) under uncultured fungus. Its description in RNAcentral is "sequence contains ITS1". The record is from RNAcentral. Lineage: Eukaryota; Fungi.